Molecule: ribosomal RNA, 254 nt
Filed under: uncultured bacterium
Lineage: Bacteria
Description: partial 16S ribosomal RNA
Rfam family: Bacterial small subunit ribosomal RNA
Source: RNAcentral
UACGAAGGGGGCUAGCGUUGUUCGGAAUUACUGGGCGUAAAGGGCGCGUAGGUGGCUUGGCAAGCGUGUGGUGAAAGCCCGGGGCUCAACCCCGGGUCUGCCGUGCGAACUGCUAUGGCUUGAGCACUGUAGAGGCAGGUAGAAUUCCGGGUGUAGCGGUGGAAUGCGUAGAGAUCCGGAAGAAUACCGGUGGCGAAGGCGGCCUGCUGGGCAGUGGCUGACACUGAGGCGCGACAGCGUGGGGAGCAAACAGG